Small nuclear RNA from Psammomys obesus (fat sand rat), 103 nucleotides. NCBI's taxonomy places the organism in Eukaryota, Metazoa, Chordata, Mammalia, Rodentia, Muridae. The record is from RefSeq and is a predicted model, not a curated record.
GCGCUUUGGCAGCACAUAGACUAAAACUGGAACGACACAGAGAAGAUCAACACGGGGCCAGCGCAAGGCUGACACACAAAUUUGUGAAGCGUUCCACAUUUUU